This 486-nucleotide ribosomal RNA is filed under the name uncultured soil bacterium. Its description in RNAcentral is "bacterial SSU rRNA". It matches the Rfam family "Bacterial small subunit ribosomal RNA", at positions 26 to 518 of the family's 1533-position model. The record is from RNAcentral.
AGGACGAACGCUGGCGGCGUGCCUAACACAUGCAAGUGGAGCGACGAACCGGGGCUUGCCCCGGGGCAGAGCCGCGAACGGGUGAGUAACACGUGGGUUACCUGCCCCGAUGACUGGGACAACCCGUCGAAAGACGGGCUAAUACCGGAUGUGCCCCUUGGGGGAGAGGAAGCUUCGGCCUCCGCAUCGGGAUGGGCCCGCGGCGCAUUAGCUUGUUGGUGGGGUAAUGGCUUACCAAGGCGACGAUGCGUAGCUGGUCUGAGAGGACGAUCAGCCACACUGGGACUGAGACACGGCCCAGACUCCUACGGGAGGCAGCAGUGGGGAAUCUUGCACAAUGCGCGAAAGCGUGAUGCAGCAACGCCGCGUGCGGAAGAAGGCCUUAGGGUGUAAACCGCUUUCAGUUGGACGAAGCUUCAGUCGUUAAUAGCGGUUUGAGUGACGGUACCUCCAGAAGAGCGCCGGCUAACUCGUGCCAGCAGCCGC